GAUGAACGCUGGCGGCGUGCCUAAUACAUGCAAGUCGAGCGAACAGACGAGGAGCUUGCUCCUCUGACGUUAGCGGCGGACGGGUGAGUAACACGUGGAUAACCUACCUAUAAGACUGGGAUAACUUCGGGAAACCGGAGCUAAUACCGGAUAAUAUAUUGAACCGCAUGGUUCAAUAGUGAAAGACGGUUUUGCUGUCACUUAUAGAUGGAUCCGCGCCGCAUUAGCUAGUUGGUAAGGUAACGGCUUACCAAGGCAACGAUGCGUAGCCGACCUGAGAGGGUGAUCGGCCACACUGGAACUGAGACACGGUCCAGACUCCGACGGGAGGAAGCAGUAGGGAAUCUUACGCAAUGGGCGAAAGCGUGACGGAGCAACGCCGCGUGAGUGCUGAAGGUCUUCGGAUCGUAAAACUCUGUUAUUAGGGAAGAACAAAUGUGUAAGUAACUAUGCACGUCUUGACGGUACCUAAUCAGAAAGCCACGGCUAACUACGUG
RNAcentral lists this ribosomal RNA (497 nucleotides) under uncultured bacterium. RNAcentral's name for it is "partial 16S ribosomal RNA". It matches the Rfam family "Bacterial small subunit ribosomal RNA", at positions 28 to 507 of the family's 1533-position model. The record is from RNAcentral.